UACGUAGGGGGCAAGCGUUGUCCGGAUUUAUUGGGCGUAAAGAGCGUGUAGGCGGCCAGAUAGGUCCGUUGUGAAAACUCGAGGCUCAACCUCGAGACGCCGAUGGAAACCCUCCAGCUAGAGUCCGGAAGAGGAGAGUGGAAUUCCUGGUGUAGCGGUGAAAUGCGCAGAUAUCAGGAAGAACACCCGUGGCUAAGGCGGCUCUCUAGUACGGUACUGACGCUGAGACGCGAAAGCGUGGGGAGCGAACAGG
This 253-nucleotide ribosomal RNA is filed under the name uncultured bacterium. Its description in RNAcentral is "partial 16S ribosomal RNA". It matches the Rfam family "Bacterial small subunit ribosomal RNA", at positions 524 to 776 of the family's 1533-position model. The record is from RNAcentral.